RNAcentral lists this unclassified non-coding RNA (363 nucleotides) under uncultured bacterium. Its description in RNAcentral is "contains 16S-23S intergenic spacer region". The record is from RNAcentral.
UCCCUGUUACCAGGGCAGUCUGAUUAGAAAAAUUCAACUAAUCACAAGGGUUGCGCUCGUUGCGGGACUUAACCCAACAUCUCACGACACGAGCUGACGACGGCCAUGCAUCACCUGUCACUGCGUUCCAAAGGCACAAACACCUUUCGGUGUUCUUCGCAGGAUGUCAAGCCUUGGUAAGGUUCUUGGCUUAGCCUCCAAUUAAACAACACGCUCCACCGCUUGUGCGGGUCCCCGUCAAUUCCUUUGAGUUUUAGUCUUGCGACCGUACUCCCCAGGCGGGAUGCUUAACGCGUUAGCUUCGCUUCUGAGAGGGUCGAUACUCCCAAAUAGCUAGCAUCCAUCGUUUACGGCGUGGACUAC